UGUAAAUAAAUAAAUAAAUAAAUAAAUAAAUAAAUAAAUAUUGUACUGUAUUUACGAAUUUAGCACCAAAAUAUCACGAUAUAUUGAAAACAUUGACUACAAAAAUGCGUUGGAUAAUCCAGAACGUUGGAUAAGCGAGUGUUGGAUAAGUGAGACUCUACUUUGUUACAUUUAUUGGAAAAUAAUAGCCUUAUAAAUACUACCUCUAGCAUCACACCAAACAUUUUGUUAAAUUCUGAUGAAAAGAUAUUAAUAAAGGGUAUACAUAACAGAAGCAAAAUCUGAAGCAAGUUCUUCUGUUUUGCCUCAUAUUGGUAAGUUAUUUUCUGUUUGGCCUGAUAUUUAUUCCACCAGAUACGAAAUGGUAAAUUAAAAGGUUAGUAAACUGACUUCCAUUUCAUAGAGAUAAGUAAAUAAAUAAUAAUAAAAAGCAUGAUCAAUGAACCUUUGCAGAAAGGUCAGUCCAACCUAAAAAAUCAAUAAAUAUAUUUAAACUGGAAAGAUUUCCUUUCAAUAUUUUGUUCAGACCUUCUUUUUGAAAAGCUGACCAGAUUCUAUUCCCCUAAUCCUUAAAUCUUCCCUUACUUCCAUCACCAUAGAAACACCUGCUGGUAAAAUCAGUGUUGAUCAGAAACAGGUGGUCUGUUUUUGCCAGCAAAAAGACUUCUAGAAUUACUAGGCUUCAGCUGUGUGACUUGAGAACGCAAGGACCAGCCAGAAACCCUUUCACACUCUUUCUACCAUCCAAUUUAUCUGCAUUUGGUUUAUCUACCUGAACUUAAUCUCGACACCGAGGAAACAUGAACAGUUGAAUUAAGGGGGAAAUACAUAAAAACUUAAGUCAGCCAAAUUGGAAACAUCAAAUCCUUUUGAACAGGUACGUACCAUUCUGCAUUGAAAUUUUAAUUUGCCAAAUCUUGCUGUGUGUAACUCUAUGUAACUCAAAAGCUGUUUUGGCUUCAAUUUACAUGAAGUCAUACUCAUAAAAUGAAGUAAAUCCCAUUGACGCCGGUGAGUAAUACUGUAUUCGUAUAUUUAUAUUUCCUGUCUCAUUGCUUUAUAGGUUUUGUAGUCUUAAAUCUGUACACAUAGUCUGCUGGGUUUUUUUUUCUCCUACACAUUUGUCAUACUGAUAAUGUAGGACUUACUAGGAGAGCAAAGGACAGUUCAGUGUUAGAUGAAUAUGAGAGACCAUGAAUGAUGCUGACUUGGUGAAAAAAAUACUGAAAUACCAUUAGAGUGCAAAUACCAGAAGUAGACAAAAUGUUGACCCAUUUCGAAUCAGUCAGUUCCCUCUGUUGAGAUUUAAAAGAAUAUGUCCCUUCCACCAUUCAAUCCCUUGUAGCAAGCAAGACCAUAGUUUUCUUAUUUCACCCUUAAAGAAUUUUUAAGACUCCUCUUUCACCUUUUCUUUUCAGUUCACAAACCAAGACUGAACAGACCAUUUAUCAAAGGAAAAUUAUAUUAAUGGCA
RNAcentral lists this long non-coding RNA (1473 nucleotides) under Anolis carolinensis (green anole). RNAcentral describes it as "lncRNA (ENSACAG00000037293.1)". The record is from RNAcentral. Lineage: Eukaryota; Metazoa; Chordata; Lepidosauria; Squamata; Anolidae.